GACGAACGCUGGCGGCGUGCUUAACACAUGCAAGUCGAACGGAAAGGCCCUGCUUUUGUGGGGUGCUCGAGAGGCGAAAGGGUGAGUAACACGUGAGUAACCUGCCCUUGACUUUGGGAUAACUUCAGGAAACUGGGGCUAAUACCGGAUAGGAGCUCCUGCUGCAUGGUGGGGGUUGGAAAGUUUCGGCGGUUGGGGAUGGACUCGCGGCUUAUCAGCUUGUUGGUGGGGUAGUGGCUUACCAAGGCUUUGACGGGUAGCCGGCCUGAGAGGGUGACCGGCCACAUUGGGACUGAGAUACGGCCCAGACUCCUACGGGAGGCAGCAGUGGGGAAUAUUGCACAAUGGGCGGAAGCCUGAUGCAGCAACGCCGCGUGCGGGAUGACGGCCUUCGGGUUGUAAACCGCUUUCGCCUGUGACGAAGCGUGAGUGACGGUAAUGGGUAAAGAAGCACCGGCUAACUACGUG
Molecule: ribosomal RNA, 468 nt
Filed under: uncultured bacterium
Lineage: Bacteria
Description: partial 16S ribosomal RNA
Rfam family: Bacterial small subunit ribosomal RNA
Source: RNAcentral